GAUGAAGAACGCAGCGAAACGCGAUAGUUAAUGUGAAUUGCAGAAUUCAGUGAAUCAUCGAGUCUUUGAACGCACAUUGCGCCUUUUGGUAUUCCGAAAGGCACGUCUGUUCGAGCGUCAGUAAAACCCUUCCGGACCGGUGGUUUUUGUUAAAACCGCCUGGCCUCGGGACCCUGGCGUGGGGAAGUGACCCGCGAGUCUUAGGGCUUGUCUGGGUUUCCCCCGCUUAAACGCGGAGAAAGCUAGCGGGCAUCGGCCUCACAUAUUGCGACAACUCGUAAACCUUUAUAGGUUGUAACAGCACAGUGGACCUGCCCCGCCUCUUGCAACAAUAAGGAGCCGUCGUGGUUCCCUGCCCUUUGACCUCGGAUCAGAUGAGGAUACCCGCUGAACUUAAGCAUAUCAAUAAGCGGAGGA
Molecule: unclassified non-coding RNA, 417 nt
Filed under: soil metagenome
Description: partial contains 5.8S ribosomal RNA, internal transcribed spacer 2, and large subunit ribosomal RNA
Rfam family: 5.8S ribosomal RNA (bases 1-120)
Source: RNAcentral